Molecule: ribosomal RNA, 484 nt
Filed under: uncultured bacterium
Lineage: Bacteria
Description: bacterial SSU rRNA
Rfam family: Bacterial small subunit ribosomal RNA
Source: RNAcentral
AUUGAACGCUGGCGGCAUGCUUUACACAUGCAAGUCGAGCGGCAGGCGCGGGGCGAACCUGGCGGCGAGCGGCGAACGGGUGAGGAAUACAUCGGAACGUACCCGAGAGUGGGGGAUAACGCCGCGAAAGCGGCGCUAAUACCGCAUAUUCUCUGAGGAGGAAAGUGGGGGACCGCAAGGCCUCACGCUCACGGAGCGGCCGAUGUCGGAUUAGCUAGUUGGUGGGGUAAAGGCUUACCAAGGCGACGAUCCGUAGCUGGUCUGAGGGGAUGAUCAGCCACACUGGGACUGAGACACGGCCCAGACUCCUACGGGAGGCAGCAGUGGGGAAUUUUGGACAAUGGGGGCAACCCUGAUCCAGCCAUGCCGCGUGCGGGAAGAAGGCCUUCGGGUUGUAAACCGCUUUUAGUCGGGAAGAAAAGGCGUCGUCUAAUAAACGGCGUUCUUGACGGUACCGGCGGAAUAAGCACCGGCUAACUACGUG